GACGAACGCUGGCGGCGGGCUUAACACAUGCAAGUCGAACGGAAACGCACUGCUUUUGUGCGGUGAUCGAGUGGCGAACGGGUGAGUAACACGUGAGUAACCUGCCCUUGACUUUGGGAUAACUUCAGGAAACUGGGGCUAAUACCAUAUAGGAUCCCCUGUUGCGUGGUGGGGGUUGGAAAGUCUCGGCGGGUGCGGGUGGAUGCGCGGCUGAUCGGCUAGUUAGUGGGGUAGUGGCUUACCAAGGCAUUGACGGGUAGCCGGCCUGAGAGGGUGACCGGCGACCUUGGGACUAAGAUACGGACCAGACUCCUACGGGAGGCAGAAGUGGGGAAUCUUGCACAAUGGGCGGGAGCCUGAUGCAGAGGCGCCGCGUGCGGGAUGACGGCCUUCGGGUUGUAAACCGCUUUCGCCUGUGACGAAGCGUGAGUGACGGUAAUGGGUAAAGAAGCACCGGCUAACUACGUG
RNAcentral lists this ribosomal RNA (468 nucleotides) under uncultured bacterium. RNAcentral's name for it is "partial 16S ribosomal RNA". It matches the Rfam family "Bacterial small subunit ribosomal RNA", at positions 28 to 507 of the family's 1533-position model. The record is from RNAcentral.